AACCCAGGGCCACCUGCACCAGCAUAUGGUCUCACAAGGGGUCUGAGGAUCUCAUCUCGGUACCUAAUGGCAGUCAGGCUACCCCUGGCAAGCACAUGGAGGGCUGUGCGGCCCCCCCAAGGAAAUGCCACCCCACACCAUUACUGAAUCUUUAGGCGGACGGCGGCAUCUCAUCGCUAGUCUAUUUAACUCUAGCCCAGCCAAUCAGAGUGGGUGCAGCUAUCCAUGCCUUCCAGAGGCCCCUUGAAUUGCUGCCGAAAUGGAUUUCCUUGGUACUGGAUACAUUUUUCUCGGUUCCAGCUAUUUAUGUCCUUUUUAUUUUUAUUUAUGUUACUGUAUCACUUAUAUAAGUACAUUGAUUGUAUAUCCUUCAGAUCUGAUGAAGGUCAAUACCUGACCGAAACGUUAUCUACUUGGAUUGAAAUAAAUCCCA
This is a long non-coding RNA of Hyla sarda, 433 nucleotides long. RefSeq lists it as uncharacterized. Lineage: Eukaryota; Metazoa; Chordata; Amphibia; Anura; Hylidae. The transcript is spliced from 3 exons. The record is from RefSeq and is a predicted model, not a curated record.